This 394-nucleotide ribosomal RNA is filed under the name uncultured bacterium. Its description in RNAcentral is "partial 16S ribosomal RNA". It matches the Rfam family "Bacterial small subunit ribosomal RNA", at positions 523 to 918 of the family's 1533-position model. The record is from RNAcentral.
AUACGUAGGGAGCGAGCGUUGUCCGGAAUUACUGGGCGUAAAGGGCGCGUAGGCGGCGCUUCAAGUCGUCUGUCAAAUGGGAGGGCUUAACCCUUUUUCGCAGACGAAACUGGAGAGCUUGAGAAGCAGAGAGGCAAACAGAAUUCCUGGUGUAGCGGUGAAAUGCGUAGAUAUCAGGAAGAAUACCAGUGGCGAAGGCGGUUUGCUGGCUGCAUACUGACGCUGAAGCGCGAAAGCCAGGGGAGCAAACGGGAUUAGAUACCCCGGUAGUCCUGGCAGUAAACGAUGUAUGCUGGGUGUGAGACUAGCGAUAGCUUCGUGCCGAAGUUAACGCGAUGAGCAUACCGCCUGGGGAGUACGGUCGCAAGAUUGAAACUCAAAUGAAUUGACGGGG